RNAcentral lists this ribosomal RNA (253 nucleotides) under uncultured bacterium. RNAcentral's name for it is "partial 16S ribosomal RNA". It matches the Rfam family "Bacterial small subunit ribosomal RNA", at positions 524 to 776 of the family's 1533-position model. The record is from RNAcentral.
UACGUAGGGUGCAAGCGUUGUCCGGAAUUAUUGGGCGUAAAGAGCUCGUAGGCGGUCUGUCGCGUCGGCUGUGAAAUCCCGGAGCUCAACUCCGGGUCUGCAGUCGAUACGGGCAGACUGGAGUUCGGCAGGGGAGACUGGAAUUCCUGGUGUAGCGGUGAAAUGCGCAGAUAUCAGGAGGAACACCGGUGGCGAAGGCAGGUCUCUGGGCCACUACUGACGCUGAGAAGCGAAAGCAUGGGGAGCGAACAGG